Molecule: ribosomal RNA, 497 nt
Filed under: uncultured bacterium
Lineage: Bacteria
Description: partial 16S ribosomal RNA
Rfam family: Bacterial small subunit ribosomal RNA
Source: RNAcentral
GACGAACGCUGGCGGCGUGCCUAAUACAUGCAAGUUGAGCGAUGAAGCUUGGUGCUUGCACCAAUUUGAAGAGCAGCGAACGGGUGAGUAACGCGUGGGGAAUCUGCCUUUGAGCGGGGGACAACAUUUGGAAACGAAUGCUAAUACCGCAUAACAACUUUAAACAUAAGUUUUAAGUUUGAAAGAUGCAAUUGCAUCACUCAAAGAUGAUCCCGCGUUGUAUUAGCUAGUUGGUGAGGUAAAGGCUCACCAAGGCGAUGAUACAUAGCCGACCUGAGAGGGUGAUCGGCCACAUUGGGACUGAGAAACGGCCCAAACUCCUACGGGAGGCAGCAGUAGGGAAUCUUCGGCAAUGGACGAAAGUCUGACCGAGCAACGCCGCGUGAGUGAAGAAGGUUUUCGGAUCGUAAAACUCUGUUGGUAGAGAAGAACGUUGGUGAGAGUGGAAAGCUCAUCAAGUGACGGUAACUACCCAGAAAGGGACGGCUAACUACGUG